This 198-nucleotide ribosomal RNA is filed under the name Klebsiella pneumoniae. Its description in RNAcentral is "partial 23S ribosomal RNA". It matches the Rfam family "Bacterial large subunit ribosomal RNA", at positions 1 to 189 of the family's 2925-position model. Lineage: Bacteria; Pseudomonadati; Pseudomonadota; Gammaproteobacteria; Enterobacterales; Enterobacteriaceae. The record is from RNAcentral.
GGGUUGUGAGGUUAAGCGACUAAGCGUACACGGUGGAUGCCCUGGCAGUCAGAGGCGAUGAAGGACAGUGCUAAUCUGCGAAAAGCGUCGGUAAGGUGAUAUGAACCGUUAUAACCGGCGAUGUCCGAAUGGGGAAACCCAGUGCAAUUCGUUGCACUAUCGUUAACUGAAUACAUAGGUUAACGAGGCGAACCGGGG